This 465-nucleotide ribosomal RNA is filed under the name uncultured bacterium. Its description in RNAcentral is "bacterial SSU rRNA". It matches the Rfam family "Bacterial small subunit ribosomal RNA", at positions 28 to 507 of the family's 1533-position model. The record is from RNAcentral.
GACGAACGCUGGCGGCGCGCCUAACACAUGCAAGUCGAACGAGAGAUGAGGAGCUUGCUCUUCAAAUCGAGUGGCGAACGGGUGAGUAACGCGUGAGGAACCUGCCUCAAAGAGGGGACGAACAGUUGGAACGACUGCUAAUACCGCAUAAGCCCACGGCUCGGCAUCGAGCAGAGGGAAAGGAGUGAUCCGCUUUGAGAUGGCCUCGCGUCCGAUUAGCUAGUUGGUGAGGUAACGGCCCACCAAGGCAACGAUCGGUAGCCGGACUGAGAGGUUGAACGGCCACAUUGGGACUGAGACACGGCCCAGACUCCUACGGGAGGCAGCAGUGGGGAAUAUUGCACAAUGGGGGGAAACCCUGAUGCAGCGACGCCGCGUGGAGGAAGAAGGUCUUCGGAUUGUAAACUCCUGUUGUUGAGGAAGAUAAUGACGGUACUCAACAAGGAAGUGACGGCUAACUACGUG